RNAcentral lists this ribosomal RNA (252 nucleotides) under uncultured bacterium. RNAcentral describes it as "partial 16S ribosomal RNA". It matches the Rfam family "Bacterial small subunit ribosomal RNA", at positions 524 to 776 of the family's 1533-position model. The record is from RNAcentral.
UACGUAGGUCCCGGGCGUUGUUCGGAUUUAUUGGGCGUAAAGCGAGCGCAGGUGGUUUAUUAAGUCUGGUGUAAAAGGCAGUGGCUCAACCAUUGUAUGCAUUGGAAACUGGUAGACUUGAGUGCAGGAGAGGAGAGUGGAAUUCCAUGUGUAGCGGUGAAAUGCGUAGAUAUAUGGAGGAACACCGGUGGCGAAAGCGGCUCUCUGGCCUGUAACUGACACUGAGGCUCGAAAGCGUGGGGAGCAAACAGG